RNAcentral lists this ribosomal RNA (256 nucleotides) under uncultured bacterium. Its description in RNAcentral is "partial 16S ribosomal RNA". It matches the Rfam family "Bacterial small subunit ribosomal RNA", at positions 524 to 776 of the family's 1533-position model. The record is from RNAcentral.
GACGUAGGUGGCGAACGUUAUCCGGAAUUAUUGGGCGUAAAGGGUGCGUAGGUGGCCUGGCAAGUUAUCAGUGGUAAAUCGAGGCCCAACCUCGUGGAAACUGGCAAUACUGCUUGGCUUGAGUGCAGGAGAGGUUAACGGAACUCUAUGUGGAGCGGUAAAAUGCACAGAUAUAUAGAAGAACAGCAAGAACGGCGAAGGCAGUUAACUAUUCUGUUACUGACACUGAGGCACGAAAGCGUGGGGAGCAAAACGG